UCCAGACUCCUACGGGAGGCAGCAGUGGGGAAUAUUGCACAAUGGGGGAAACCCUGAUGCAGCGACGCCGCGUGAGUGAAGAAGUAUUUCGGUACGUAAAGCUCUAUCAGCAGGAAAGAAAAUGACGGUACCUGACUAAGAAGCCCCGGCUAACUACGUGCCAGCAGCCGCGGUAAUACGUAGGGGGCAAGCGUUAUCCGGAUUUACUGGGUGUAAAGGGAGCGUAGACGGCAGCGCAAGUCUGGAGUGAAAUGCCGGGGCCCAACCCCGGAACUGCUCUGGAAACUGUGAAGCUGGAGUGCAGGAGAGGUAAGCGGAAUUCCUGGUGUAGCGGUGAAAUGCGUAGAUAUCAGGAGGAACACCGGCGGCGAAGGCGGCUUACUGGACUGUAACUGACGUUGAGGCUCGAAGGCGUGGGGAGCAAACAGGAUUAGAUACCCUGGUA
Molecule: ribosomal RNA, 445 nt
Filed under: uncultured bacterium
Lineage: Bacteria
Description: bacterial SSU rRNA
Rfam family: Bacterial small subunit ribosomal RNA
Source: RNAcentral